RNAcentral lists this small RNA (153 nucleotides) under Arabidopsis thaliana (thale cress). RNAcentral's name for it is "ATSL203570". The record is from RNAcentral. Lineage: Eukaryota; Viridiplantae; Streptophyta; Magnoliopsida; Brassicales; Brassicaceae.
UAUUUGUUUCAUACACAGAGUCAUGGAGAUGGACGUAAGACUUGUAACUAUGGUGUAUGUGUGAAAGGUGAAAAUUAUGCGGAUGCAUCUGACGCCGCAAAUAUUUACGGAAACUUAACUGAUAUCAUAGAACUUGAGUAUGAGGGGGUGGUC